CCUACGGGAGGCAGCAGUGGGGAAUAUUGGGCAAUGGGCGCAAGCCUGACCCAGCAACGCCGCGUGAAGGAAGAAGGCUUGCGGGUUGUAAACUUCUUGUAAGAGGGAAGAGCAGAAGACGGUACCUCUUGAAUAAGCCACGGCUAACUACGUGCCAGCAGCCGCGGUAAUACGUAGGUGGCAAGCGUUGUCCGGAUUUACGGGGUGUAAAGGGCGUGUAGCCGGGCUGACAAGUCAGAUGUGAAAUCCGGGGGCUCAACCCCCGAACUGCAUUUGAAACUGUUGGUCUUGAGUAUCGGAGAGGCCGGCGGAAUUCCUAGUGUAGCGGUGAACUGCGUCGAUAUUAGGAGGAACCCCAGUGGCGAAGGCGGCCUGCUGGACGACAACUGACGGUGAGGCGCGCCAGCGUGGGGAGCAAACAGGAUUAGAUACCCCUGUAGUC
This 442-nucleotide ribosomal RNA is filed under the name uncultured bacterium. Its description in RNAcentral is "partial 16S ribosomal RNA". It matches the Rfam family "Bacterial small subunit ribosomal RNA", at positions 338 to 795 of the family's 1533-position model. The record is from RNAcentral.